GGGGGACGAUGCGUAGCCGACCUGAGAGGGUGAUCGGCCACACUGGGACUGAGACACGGCCCAGACUCCUACGGGAGGCAGCAGUAGGGAUCUUCCGCAAUGGACGGAAGUCUGACGGAGCAACGCCGCGUGAGUGAUGAAGGUUUUCGGAUCGUAAAAACUCUGUUGUCAGGGAAGAACAAGUAUGAUAGUAACUGAUCGUACCUUGACGGUACCUGACCAGAAAGCCACGGCUAACUACGUGCCAGCAGCCGCGGUAAUACGUAGGUGGCAAGCGUUGUCCGGAAUUAUUGGGCGUAAAGCGCUCGCAGGCGGUUCUUUAAGUCUGAUGUGAAAUCUUGCGGCUCAACCGCAAACGUGCAUUGGAAACUGGAGGACUUGAGUGCAGAAGAGGAGAGUGGAAUUCCACGUGUAGCGGUGAAAUGCGUAGAGAUGUGGAGGAACACCAGUGGCGAAGGCGACUCUCUGGUCUGUAACUGACGCUGAGGAGCGAAAGCGUGGGGAGCGAACAGGAUUAGAUACCCUGGUAGUCCACGCCGUAAACGAUGAGUGCUAGGUGUUAGGGGGUUUCCGCCCCUUAGUGCUGAAGUUAACGCAUUAAGCACUCCGCCUGGGGAGUACGGCCGCAAGGCUGAAACUCAAAAGAAUUGACGGGGACCCGCACAAGCGGUGGAGCAUGUGGUUUAAUUCGAAGCAACGCGAAGAACCUUACCAGGUCUUGACAUCCUUUGACCACUCUAGAGAUAGAGUUUUCCCUUCGGGGACAAAGUGACAGGUGGUGCAUGGUUGUCGUCAGCUCGUGUCGUGAGAUGUUGGGUUAAGUCCCGCAACGAGCGCAACCCUUAAUCUUAGUUGCCAGCAUUCAGUUGGGCACUCUAAGGUGACUGCCGGUGACAAACCGGAGGAAGGUGGGGAUGACGUCAAAUCAUCAUGCCCCUUAUGACCUGGGCUACACACGUGCUACAAUGGACGGAACAAAGGGAAGCGAACCCGCGAGGUCCAGCAAAUCCCAUAAAACCGUUCUCAGUUCGGAUUGCAGGCUGCAACUCGCCUGCAUGAAGCCGGAAUCGCUAGUAAUCG
This 1080-nucleotide ribosomal RNA is filed under the name Oceanobacillus oncorhynchi. RNAcentral's name for it is "bacterial SSU rRNA". It matches the Rfam family "Bacterial small subunit ribosomal RNA", at positions 271 to 1344 of the family's 1533-position model. The record is from RNAcentral. Lineage: Bacteria; Bacillati; Bacillota; Bacilli; Caryophanales; Bacillaceae.